CGUUCGCCAGGGGAAUACGAGCAUCAGCUUAAAACCCAAAGGACUUGGCGGUGCUUUAGACCCACCUAGAGGAGCCUGUCCUAAAACCGAUAAUCCCCGUUAAACCUCACCCUCUUUUGUCCACAACCGCUUAUAUACCGCCGUCGUCAGCUCACCCUGUGAAGGAACAAUAGUCGGCACAAUCGGCUCAGCCCAGUACGUCAGGUCGAGGUGUAGCAAAUAGGAGGGGAUGAGAUGGGCUACAUUCUCUAAUUAAGAGUAUACGAAAAGCAUGUUGAAACACAUGCUGGAAGGAGGAUUUAGCAGUAAGUAGUAAAUAGAGUGUAUUACUGAAGCUGGCUCUAGAGCGCGCACACACCGCCCGU
Molecule: ribosomal RNA, 365 nt
Filed under: Gastrocyathus gracilis
Lineage: Eukaryota; Metazoa; Chordata; Actinopteri; Blenniiformes; Gobiesocidae
Description: partial small subunit ribosomal RNA
Rfam family: Bacterial small subunit ribosomal RNA
Source: RNAcentral